Molecule: long non-coding RNA, 1046 nt
Organism: Esox lucius (northern pike)
Lineage: Eukaryota; Metazoa; Chordata; Actinopteri; Esociformes; Esocidae
Source: Ensembl
GGAGUAUGACCGGUCAACGAUGGCGGCCGUAUUUCUAGCCCCUGUAUCUCAAAUUGAACCCAAAAAAAAAAUUGCCCCUGAUCUAUUCAUCUAUAAUUCCGAUCGGGCAUUAUGACAAAGUAGACGUGUAGGCCGCUAGAGUGUACAUCGACAUUUUCCGCAUGUACACUCAACCCUGUACUUUCUGGGUGGGCUAAGCCCCGAAUGUAUUGUGGUCCUAGCGACGCCUCUGGGUGAGACUAUGGGAAAGAUGUGGCUUGACAGCAACGUACCAAGCGUAAAGAGCUGAGUUUCCAGGCUGAGGAUGUGAAAGGAAGCGGACAGGAAGAGAAGGGAAGAGGAAGGGCAAGAGCCUGAGAAAACAGAUUGAGAGGCAGAUAGCCAGAGGGACAAUUCACCACUCAUUCCAGCCCUGCAGAAGAAAUUGGACAAGCAUCUAACUCCCAGACCUCCCAGUGCUGCCAGUCAGUUCUCAUCCAGGGCCCUGUCUACCAGUGCCGGAGUCGUGGAGGAUUUGGGUCCUACGACUAUGGAGGCUUUUCCACCCUCCCCGGUGUCUUGGGUCCAGCUCCCAGAGAUGGUGGAGGAGGGUCCCGGAAUUGGAGCGGAUCGGGAGCCUGUGGUGGCUGCUAGGAGGAUUCAGGAGAAAAAGGAACUGCAUAUAGUAAAUGUGGAUAAAGUGGAGACUUACCUUGAGACAUCUGAGUCGGAGCCCCAACAGGGACUCCUGGUUGCUGCUGCCCCGGGUUUCCCGAUGACGCUUCCUCCGGUUCCAUCUUCUCCUCUUGGAUCACAUCAGGAGAAGGUAGGGGGGUUGGUUCAGGCAGAUGUUGAUUUGGAUACCCUUUCUUCCACUACAAUUAUUAUUCUACCAGGUAAGGAGCCUAGAUCUGUUUGUCAUGAACCAAUUAGACAUCCAAAUUCCACCAAUAAACUUUAUGACUGGGUACUUACCAUUAGAAAACCCAUUGUUAUAAUGGGAGAAUUGAAUAUUUCAAGGAAACCUCAGUUUGCUGAUCUCAGAGUACAGGCAGAUAGCUUCCCGG